This 47-nucleotide small RNA is filed under the name uncultured Bulleidia sp. RNAcentral's name for it is "DUF3800-XI RNA". It matches the Rfam family "DUF3800-XI RNA". Rfam says of the family: Actinobacteria, Firmicutes, Proteobacteria, Spirochaetes (1 example). Nearby to DUF3800 Lineage: Bacteria; Bacillati; Bacillota; Erysipelotrichia; Erysipelotrichales; Erysipelotrichaceae. The record is from RNAcentral.
UGGGCUGAUCGAAAGAUCCAGGUCCACCGAAGGCGGGGAACCUCCCC